AGGGAAUAUUGGACAAUGGGCGAAAGCCUGAUCCAGCAAUGCCGCGUGAGUGAUGAAGGCCUUAGGGUUGUAAAGCUCUUUUACCCGGGAUGAUAAUGACAGUACCGGGAGAAUAAGCUCCGGCUAACUCCGUGCCAGCAGCCGCGGUAAUACGGAGGGAGCUAGCGUUGUUCGGAAUUACUGGGCGUAAAGCGCACGUAGGCGGCUAUUCAAGUCAGAGGUGAAAAGCCCCGGGGCUCAACCCCGGAACUGCCUUUGAAACUAGAUAGCUUGAAUCCAGGAGAGGUGAGUGGAAUUCCGAGUGUAGAGGUGAAAUUCGUAGAUAUUCGGAAGAACACCAGUGGCGAAGGCGGCUCACUGGACUGGUAUUGACGCUGAGGUGCGAAAGCGUGGGGAGCAAACAG
Molecule: ribosomal RNA, 404 nt
Filed under: uncultured bacterium
Lineage: Bacteria
Description: bacterial SSU rRNA
Rfam family: Bacterial small subunit ribosomal RNA
Source: RNAcentral